CAGACUCUUGUUUCACAAUUUCUAGAGAAGAUGUGCCUUUUCUUGCAUUUCCAGCACCUAUUACUGUUUUUGUGAAUUUUUUGUCAAUUCUGAUGGGAUAAUAAUAAUAACAACAACAACAAGAUCAACAACUUUAUUCAUAACCUGCCCUAUUUCUCUGAGAAGACUCAGGGCAGUUUCCAACAAAGGAUGGCAAACAUUCAGUGCCAUAAAACAAUACAAAAUGAACAAAUAACCCCAUGAAUAAAGCAUCUAUAAUAAAUUAUAACAAUUAGUUCUGCCAUUCCUGUAUUUCUCAGUUUAAGAGCUCUUACUGUCGGGAAGUUCUUCCUAAUGUUCAGGUGGGAUCUCUUUUCCUGGAGUUUGAAUCCAUUGCUCCAUUGUGUCCAAAUCUCCAGAGCAGCAGAAAGGAAGCCAACCGAUGGGAAAGAUCUCUGUAGCCAUCUAUGUGCAAAUCCCAACUGCAGCUCCCAUUAUCCUUUAGCUCAUGAUGCUGGGACUUUCAAUCCUGCAAUAUCCUGUGCUAACUUUAACCCAGGCCUUCCAAAUGUAUUGGACUCUUAUCUCCCAGAAUGCUGCAAUGCUCCAGUGGGGUUCCUCCCCAGGUCAUCCUCAGAGCUCAGGAUGCUUGUCUGUCUUUAAGAUGGAAAGCACACGCCUGUGUUUUUUAUGGAUUGGGAAUCAGCUGGUUUUCCUUACAAUAGGCAGUAAGAGCACCUAAAGCUUCUGAGAGCUUCCGAUCAACCAUUUCAAAGCUCCCUGCUUGAGUGGUGAUGGCAUGAUCGUCAGCAUAUAUGAAACUCUCUUCUGGCAGUGGCUGGUCAUUUGUGUAAAUGUUAAAACUGAUGGAACAAGCACACUCCCCUGAGGACAAAAUAGGUUCUCCAAUGUUAUUCUUGCACCAGAAGUCCUUCAUUUCAAUAGAGUUUGCUCUCGCCUGCGGUUUCAUAUAUUCCUGCAAGAAGUCUACAGAUAAUGGGCUCAUAUUGCAUUGAUUCCGCAGCAGAUUCGGAAAGACCCUUCCACCUUGUGCAAUCGGCUAGCAAGAGCUGCAGAACGAAUGCAGUUUGAUUGCAACUGAACUGCGCUUUUAAUUGUUAUGCAAUCCUGGGAUUUAUAGUCUGAUGAUGCCCCAGCCCUCUUUGGCAGAGAGGUUUGGAAGGCCCUUUCAAAAGUACAACUUACAUGAUCCCAUAGCACUGAGCCAUGGCAAGAAGAUCUCAAUGUUAGAAGAGUCUUGGAUGAAGGUCUUUGCUCUAAAUCUGUUGUUUUUGGAAGGGAAAUGGGUCAGUGGAGCAAUAUAAAUGAUUAAAAACAAUGUUCACGGUAGUGGAGUUAUUGCUGAAUUUUUGAACGGAACCAAAAGGCUGUUUUGUAUAUGGAAACAUGUAUGAAGAUACUAGCAUUCGGUUAAAGCAGUGUCCAAUUGCAUUAAUUGCACAGUAUUUGCUGCCAUCCUGUGCUGUGCAGGUGCAUUGCAAGUUACGUGUCCCAAAAGUACCUAGGCAAAGAAGUACACAAACGCCUCCAUAAAAAGGUGGGAUGCAAAGUAUUCAUGGCAACAGCAGCAGCAACAUGCAUUGCAUCUACGCACCGCAGCCUGCAUCCUGUUGGUGUUUCCCACACAUUUACGUGCAUGAAUUGUACUUUUCUGGCCAUUCUUGCAGUUCAAGGUUGUGGCACUAGACUUACAUAAGUGUAACUAUUUCACAAGUGUUUCUGCACACUUGGAAAGUGUAUACAGUAUAGUCAUAGAAUCCUUGAGUUGGAGGAGAGCCCAAGUGGCCAUCCUGUCUGACUCCCCUUCUUCUAGGCAAGAAGACACAAUCAAAUCCCUCCCGACAGAUGGUCAUCUAGCCUCUGCUUAAAAACAUCCAGAGAAGGAGACAGUUGUCCUACAUCUUAAAUUGUAAGUUUUUCAGCAACUCUGAAGCCAAUCAUUGUGCAAUCCCUUUGGCACAAGGAGACAUCAGAAAACGCACUGACAGAUGAAUACACAACUGGAUGUGCAAUGCUGGUGUUCAGUGGAAGUAGGCACAACCACCAUGUAACUACAUUAAUGCAGGUUUACACUGUUGGAUAAGACUGAAAAUCGAGACUUGUUGCGUCUGCCAAGUAAAUCACGGAGAUGAGAUGAAACUGAGUAAGAAGGCUAACAGACGACAAUAUCUUUGGCGAAAGGGUCUACCAAGUCUUAGCACUGCUUUCAGUCCAACCUACUCGCAGCAUUCUUUAACAUAGCAUGUUUCAAGCACCACUGUUUUAUGGAUACUCAAGAGUUAUACCAAUAAUGACAAAGUGUGCAGGAGUAAUAUCUAAUGCUUCCUUAUCUAUGGGUCCAGCACUGAAUGUGUCCAGAGCUUGUUUGUUAUUGAUGAGGAUGUUCUCAGGGUCUGGCACUGGAUAUAGCCAUAGCUUCUCAUUGUUAGCCCUGGACACACAAUAUUGCUGUGACAGCAUUUUUACCAUAACGCAGAGCUCAGCCACAAAUACAAGUCAUGGGAGAUGCCAGCUAUUGUCAAGAUCAGGGGUCCCCAAACUAAGGCCCGGGGCCCGGAUGUGGCCCUCCAAAGUCAUUUACAUGGCCCCCGCCCUCAGUUUUAGACUUAGGCUUGCCCAAAGUCUGAAAUAACUUGAAGGCACACAACAACAAUCGUACUUAACUUGACUAUCUCAUUGGGCAGAAGCAGGCCCACACUUUAAAUUAUUUUUAAAUAUUGUAUUGUUCAUUCAUUUACUAAUAUUGUGCUAUGGUAAUAAUAUAAUAUAUUGUGUAUACAUAUAAUAUUGAUAAUAUUAUAAUGUAAUACAAUAUAAUAUUUAUUUAUUUAUUACAGUACAGGGGACUCAGUGCAGCUAAUAAUAAUAAUAAUGCAAUGUAAUAAUAUUGUAUAAUAUAAUAAUAUUAAUUAUAUAUUAUAUAUUAAAUGUAAUAUUACUAAUAAUAAUAUAGUAUAGUGGUAUAGUACAAUAUAGUAAUAUAUAAUGCUAAUAUUGUGCUAUGCUAAUAAUAUAGCAUAUUGUAUGUACAUACAACUUGUAAGCCGUUCUGAGUCUCCUUCGGGGUGAGAAAGGGUGGAGUAUAAAUGUAGCAAAUAAAUAAAUAAAUAGUUCAAUGUGUUGUCGAAUAAAUAGUUGCUGUUGUGUGUUUUUUGCACUACAAAUAAGACAUGUGCAGUGUGCAUAGGAAUUUUUUCCAUUUUUUUUCCAAAUGAUAAUUCGGCCCCUCAACAAUCUGAGGGACCAUGAACCGGCCCUCCACUUUAAAAGUUUGAGGACCCCUGGUCAAGAUAGUGUUGAUCAGGCUCCCGAAAACAGAUUAGGUGAAUCUAACUAAGCAUGAUGAUGAUGAUGAUGAUGAUGAUGAUGAUGAAUAUGAUAAUCUUUAUUUAUAUUCUGCUGUAUCUGCCCAAGUGGACUCAGAGUGGAUUACGGGUAAAUAUAUGGCAAAUAUUCGAUGCUGUUAUACAAUUGACAAAGGCAGACAGUACAUAAACAGAGGCAAAGCUUCCCUCUUUUUUUCAUCUCCGGCAUCUGGAGGCUGUGCUUGACUUGGCCAUGGGAAGGUGCUGUUGUUUCCACGCCGAGGAGCCUGUCAUCCAUGGAGGCCUUCCUGAUUGAAUUUGCCCGGAUAUUUUUCAGGACACGUUUUACCUCACCGCUAAAGCGGUACCUAUUUACCUGCUCACAUUGUUGUUUUCAAUCUGCUAGAUAAGCAGAAGCUGAGGCUGAUGGCGAGAGCUCACCCUGACCGACGGCUUGAACUGCCAACCUUCCAGUGGGCAAGAUCUUCUGUAGCUGUAACCUGCUGUGUAAGUCGUGGCUUCAAAGGAUACCAUGUAGUAUCAUUUGCAGACCUACUGAUUUUGUGCAGGAAAUUACCCUCACCGUUUGUGACAAAUAUGUAUGGAUUUUAUUGCAUAUAGUAUAGUAUAGUAUAGUAUAGUAUAGUAUAGUAUAGUAACAGGACUGUCACCAAAGGUAGUGCAAUGUCUGUUGCUGGUUUGCCACCUCUUUGCAAUGAAGUGAUCAGGGACUAUUUAAAGCCUGAUUGAGCCAUAGUCCCAAGAUUUACUUUCUGUGGCCCAGAUUUAUGACACUUAUUUAUUUUGCCAUUACAAAGUGCCUGUAGAAUAAUGUUGAUGAUGAUGAUGAUGAUGAUGAUGAUGAUGAUGUGGCGAAGUGGCACAGCGGGAGGAAAGAGUUACACUACUGACUCAGAGUGUGGCUUUGCACAAACAUGCCACAAUCUCACAACAUCAGUGGCAGAGGAUGGUUGUUUCUUUGAAGUUGAAAUUGCUGUUGCUGUAGUAAUUGCCCAAAAGAUAUACACUCCCUUGAAACCUCUUUGGUUAAAAUAUGCAUUCAGAGAUAACAACAAAACAAAGUCUUCUUUGAAAAAGAGCAUAUCUUGUUUACUCACAAACAUCUUGUAUUAAUUCACUAUACAGGCACAUUUCUUAUUUAAAUUCAGUUAUAGAUAGGAUAUAGUUCUCUGUGUGUUGAGUACACAGGGUAUUCUUAAUCAAUAGUCCAUAGUCUUUAGAUAUACAGUAGAGUCUCGCUUAUCCAACGUUCUGGAUUAUCCAAGGCAUUUUUUUCAAUACAUCAUGAUAUUUUGGUGCUAAACUCGUAAAUACAGUAAUUACUACAUAGCAUUACUGCGUAUUGAACUACUUUUUCUGUCAAAACAUGAUGUUUUGGUGCUUAAUUUGUAAAAUCAUAACCUAAUUUGAUGUGUAAUAGACUUUUCCUUAAUCUCUCCUUAUUAUCCAACAUAUUUGCUUAUCCAAUGCUCUGCCGGCCCGUUUAUGUUGGAUAAGUGAGACUCUACUGUAGUUGUACUCACUGGAGUCCAUACGUCAUACUUCUCUACUGAAGUCCUAACAGCAAUGUGCAUCUACCUCCAUUGAGGUGUAAAGCAGACUGACUACAAAAUGGAGUUCUGUGUCUGACCAUGCUCAGUACAAUUACAUCUCUAUAACCUCCCACAUCAGAGGUACAGUCAAACUGGCAAAUCAACAUACACAUAGAAUAUGGUUUAGCAAAUAUAUACAUUAACAAAUAAAUAAUAGAAGGCUUGGGAGGUUGCGAUUUUCAACAUAGACACCUCCAAGGUCAUGUGACCGGCAUGACUGCAUGGAGCGCCAUUACCUUCCCAUCAGAGCGGUACCUAUUGAUCUACUCACAUUUGCAUGUUUUCAAACUGCUAGGCUGGCAGAAACGGGCUAACAGUGGUCAGCAAGUUCAGCAGCUCAGCGGUUUAACCCACUGCGCCACCAGGGGCUCCUGUGUCCUCAUACAUUUGGUUAUUACCUGCCAAUAAAAUUGUUGUGUUGCAAAAUGGUAAAAAGUGUGCCACCAACAUGAACAUUUUUGUAAACUUCUGGCCUAGAUAAAAAUGUUGCGGUAUUUUCAUUUUAAUUCACAGUUCCUUGGAAUCGGGUUCUUCUACAUUGCCAUAUAAUCCAGAUUAUCAUGUGGAUUAUCUGCUUUGAACUGGAUUAUCUGAGAGCCCUUCUAGACAGCCAUAUAAUCCAGACUAUCAAGGCAGAAAAUCCCACAAUAUCUGCUUUGAACUGGGUUAUCUGAGUCCACACUGCCAUAUAAUCCAGUUCAAAGCUUAUACUGUAUAUACAGUAGAGUCUCACUUAUCCAAGCCUCGCUUAUCCAAGCCUCUGGAUAAUCCAAGCCAUUUUUAUAGUCAAUGUUUUCGUGAUAUUUUGGUGCUAAAUACAGUAAUUACAACAUAACAUUACUGCGUAUUGAACUAUUUUUUCUGUCAAAUUUGUUGUAUAACAUGAUGUUUUGGUGCUUAAUUUGUAAAAUCAUAACCUAAUUUGAUGUUUAAUAGGCUUUUCCUUAAUCCCUCCUUAUUAUCCAAGAUAUUCGCUUAUCCAAGGUUCUGCCGGCCCGUUUAGCUUGGAUAAGCGAGACUCUACUAUACUUGAGUAUAAGCCUAGUUUUUCAGCCCUCUUUUUAAGACUGAAAAAGGCCCCCUCGGCUUAUACUCGGGUGAGGGUCCUGGUUAGCUUAUAUUUGGGUCAUCUUAUACUCGAGAAUAUAUGGUACAUUUAUUAUUUUUCUCUAUGAUGUCUGGUGUGUUGUGUUCCAGAACUUUGUCUGUCUGGAUUUGGAAGUCCCACAGUAUCUUUGCGUGUUCAUUUUCCAAUACUUUUGCAAGUUUGUGAUCCCACCAGUUCUUUGCUGCUGGGAGGUGGUACUUGAGGCAUAAAUUCCAAUGAAUCAUUUGGGCCACGUAGUUGUGCCUCUGUUUGUAGUCUGUCUGUGCGAUUUUCUUACAGCAGCUGAGGAUGUGAUCCAUGGUUUCGUCGGUUUCUUUGCACAGUCUGCAUUUUGGGUCAUCAGCUGAUUUUUCGAUCUUGGCCUUAAUGGCCUUUGUCCUGAUGUCUUGCUCCUGGGCUGCAAGGAUCAGGCCUUCUGUCUCCUUCUUCAGGGUCCCAUUUGUGAGCCAGAGCCAGGUCUUCUCCUUGUCAGCUUUUCCUUCAAUUUUUUCAAGGAACCUUCCAUGCAAUGUUUUGUUGUGCCAGCUGUCAGCUCUAGUUUGUAGUGCAGUUUUCUUAUACUGGUUUUUUGUCUGCUGUGCUUUGAGGAGUUCCUGAUUUUUGAUUUCAAUCAAAGCAGGUUCUUCACUUUGCUUUACAUACUCUGCCAGGACAUGUUUUUCUUCUUUGACUGCUUGUUUUAAUUGUAAGAGUCCUCUGCCACCAGAUCUUCUAGGCAGAUAUAGCCGGUCAACAUCACUGCGAGGGUGCAGUGAAUGAUGAAUGGUCAUUGGUUUUCUUGUUUUUCUGUCCAAAUUGUCCAGUUCCGCCUGUAUCCAAUUUAUAAUGCCAGCAGUAUAUCUUAUGACAGGUAUGGCCCAGGUGUUUAUGGCCUUGAUGGUGUUGCCUCCAUUGAGCUUGCUUUUGAGAAUUUUUCUGACCCUUUGUGUGUAUUCUUUGCUGACCACAGUUUUCACAUGUUCAUGCUUGAUGUUGUCCAGCUGUAAUAUGCCAGGAUAUUUAUAGGAAUUUUAUUAUUAUUAUUAUUAUUAUUAUCAUUAUUUUAUUGUAUGGCACAGCAAACAAGAUAGACAUGCUGGAUUUCAUAUCACAAAAUCACAAGUCGAACACUUCCCAAGUGCCUUUGUUCUGAUGGCUUGCUCCUGGGCUGCAAGGAUCAGGCCUUCUGUCUCCUUCUUCAGGGUCCCAUUUGUGAGCCAGAGCCAGGUCUUCUCCUUGUCAGCUUGUCCUUCAAUUUUGUCAAGGAACUUUCCAUGCAAUGUUUUGUUAUGCCAGCUGUUAGUUCUAGUUUGUAGUGUGGCUUUCUUGUACUGAUUUUUUGUCUGCUGUGCUUUGAAGAGUUUCUGAUUUUUGACUUCAAUCAAAGCCCGUUCUUGUAAUAUUAAUUAUUAUUAUUAUUAUUAUUAUUAUUAUUAUUAUUAUUAUUAUUGGCAAUGAAAGAGUGAACUAUCAUCUCACUACAAUGGCUUGUAUGCCAGUUUGUCCCUUUAAGCAGGAGUUCUCUGGAGGUUCGAAACAGAGCCUGGUUGGCCAUCUGUUGGGAGGGCUUGGAUUGUGUCUCCCUGUUUGGCAGAAGGAGGUGGACUGGAUGGCUUUUGGGAAUCUCUUCCAACUCUAUGAUUCUUUCCUUGGCAAGAAUCUUAGCAUCUAAGUGAGCAAGAAAUAAGGAAGACCCCUUUGGGCACGAAACCAAGCGCUGCCGGCCACACCCUCGUCUGCUUCAAAACGUUUCCUGCUGUAGGUAGAGUUUCACGAGAGAACGUUCCCGAAGUACUAACAGAAGCUCUUUGUGCAACAAGGAGCAAGCCUCUGUGAAAUGCCAGGGUGAGGCCACACGCAAACACUGGGAGAGAUCCACAGCGAAGGCUGGCAACCGAGAGAGCUUGACUCCCACUCAAGGCUGACUCACGGGGUGGGACAGACCAGCACUCAGUGGUCUCGCUCUCUCCGCUGUCAAUCUUAUGCACAGGGAAUUAUUUGAACAUGUCCUCCCACACACGGCAUUGUGAGUCACACCACCGACAGUUGAGAUGAUGCACCUCAGUCUGAAGGAAGGGAGCUGCUAGAGAAGUAGGGUCUUUUCACACUAGAGUUGGCCCUCCGUAUCCACGGAUUCUCCAUCUGUUCAUGGAUUCCAAAAUGUAUGGUUCAGAAAUAUACCGUAUAUACUUGAGUAUAAGCUGACCCGAAUAUAAGCCAAGGCACCUAAUUUUACCACAAAAAAAACUGGGAAAACAUUGACUCCAGUAUAAGCCGAGGGUGGUAAAUUUCAGAAAUAAAAACAGAUCCCAAUAAAAUUACAUUAAUUGAGGCAUCGGUAGGUUAAAAGUUUUUGAAUAUUUACAUAAAGCUCAAAUUUAAGAUAAGACUGUCCAACUCUGAUCAAAUCAUUAUUCUCAUCUUCUUCAAUGUAUAGUAAAUGUGAUGUAUAAUAAUAAUAAUAAUAAUAAUAAUAAUAAUAAUAAUAAUAAUAGUAAUAAUAAUACAACUUUAUUUCUACCCUGUCACCAUCUCCCCGCGGGGACUCAGGGCAGCUUACAUGGGGCAGAGGCCCAAACAACAUAGGAUAAAAUAUAGGCAACAUAAUACAAAUCACACUAUAAAAAGAUAAAACAAUAAUACAAUAUAUCAAUUAAAACAAAAAUAUAGGAUAAAAAAUUGCAUUUAAAAAAUGGUAAAAUCGUAAUAAAUACAGGAUAGAUUAUUAAAAACCCUCUGGGGCCGAUUAAUUAAUGACUGUAUCUCCAAAGGCCUGCCGAAACAUCCAAGAGUAAAAUAAUACCUGUAAUAAUAAUAAUAAAUACAGGAAAAUAAUACAAGUAAUAUUAAAUAGAGUAAAAUAAUAAAUGCAAUAAGAAUAAUAAUAAGAUCAGAGUGAAAUAAUAAAUGUAUUAAUAAUAAUAAUAAAAAUAGAGUAAAAUCAAUGUAAUAGUAGCAACAAUAAUAGAGGAAAAAUAAUAAAUGUAAUAAUACCAAUAAUAAUAGAGAAAAAUAAUAAAUGUACCAUAUAUUCUCGAGUAUAAGCUGACCCAAAUAUAAGCCAACCAGGACCCUCAGCCAAGUAUAAGCCGAGGGGGGCUUUUUCAGUCUUAAAAAAAGGGCUGAAAAACUAGGCUUAUACUCGAGUAUAUACAGUAUACUGAAAAAGUAACCCAUGAUUUUGCUAUCCUUUCUCAACCUGGGGGUCGGGACCCCUGGGAGGGUCGAGAGGGGGUUUCAGAGGGGUCACCAAAGACCAUCAGAAAACCAUUUCUGAUGGUCUUAGGAACCCAAAUCCGUCCAGUAUUUUCUGUUGGUUCAUGAGAGUUCUGUGUGGGAAGUUUGGUCCAAUUCUAUCAUUGGUGGGGUUCAAGGGCCUUCUUGAUGUUAUUUAUUAUUUAUUUCUGAUAUUUCUACCCCGCCCUUCUCCCCGAGGGGACUCAGGGCGGCUUACACAACUGGCAGGAUCACUACCAGUAUAUCAUAAUACAAUAAAAUAAUAAAACAGUUAAAAUAGUUAAAUAACACAGUAAAAUACAAUAUAUAAAAGAUUUAACACAGUGCAACGCCGAAUAUAUUUGCCAGUCAUCCAUCAGACCUUGUGCAAGAGCCUUCAUCCAAUCCAUGUCAAUGCUAACUGAGUUCAUUCAUUAAACGCUUGAGCACAUAGCCAUGUCUUUGGUUUUUUUUUCUGAACCCUGGAAGAGAAGGAGCCUGCCGGAUGUCACUGGGGAAGGGAGUUCCACAGCCGAGGAGCCACCACCGAGAAGGCCCUGUCCCUCUUUCUUGUGAGGCUGGUGGGACCGAGAGCAGGGUCUCCCCAGAUAAUCUUAAGGUUCUUGUGGGCUCAUAGGAGGAGAUGCGUUCAGACAGGUAAGUUGGACCAAAACCAUUUAGGGCUUUGUAGGUCAAAACCAGCACUUUGAAUUGGGCCCUGUAGCAUAUCGGCAGCCAGUGGAGCUGGCUUAGCAGGGGGGUGGUGUGCUCCCUGUAAGCCGCCCCAGUUAUUAGUCUGGCUGCCGCCCGUUGUACGAAUUGGAGCUUCCGGGCCGUCUUCAAAGGCAGCCCCACGUAGAGCGCGUUUCAGUAAUCCAAACAGGAUGUAACCAGAGCGUGGACCACCGUGGCCAAGUCAGACCUCCCAAGGAACGGGCGCAGCUGGCGCACAAGUCUUAGUUCUGCAAAUGCUCCCCUGGCCACCGCCAAGACCUGGGGCUCCAGGCUCAGCGAUGAGUCCAGGAGAACCCCCAGACUGCGAACCUGUGUCUUCAGGGGGAGUGCGACCCCGUCCAACACAGGCUGUAACCCUAUUCCCCGUUCAGCCUUACAACUGACCAGGAGGACCUCCGUCUUGUCUGGAUUCAAUUUCAAUUUGUUGGCCCUCAUCCAGUCCGACACAACGGCCAGACACCGGUUUAGGACCUGGACCGCCUCCUUAGUGACAGGUGGGAAGGAGUGGCAGAGCUGGACAUCAUCUGUGUACAGAUGACACCGCACCCCGAAACUCCGGAUGAUCUCUCCCAGUGGUUUCAUGUAGAUGUUGAACAACAUGGGGGACAGUACAGACCCCUACGGGACCCCACAAGACAAUGGUUGUGGGGCUGAGCAGGUGUCCCCCAAUGACACUGUUCUGUCACGCGCUGGGCCUGUGACUGAUUGUCUAUUAUAUAGGACGUACGCUUUACGCCCAGGGUGCCUAAAGAAAGGUUGUUGAGGAAUUUCCCUGAAAAAGCUGGCCUUGAAGUCUUUAAAGACAUAACAAAGUCUUUAUUGACAAACAAAGAAUAAAUCUUCAAGGAGUCUUGUCCCCACAGGACAGGCGAUUGGCUUUGAAUAACUGUGAAAACCCUCUUAUAACCCCUCCCAGGCUAUCUAUUAACUGGGCUUAGCUGGUCUGGGACCCACUGCUGACUCCAAGUGCAUCUGGUUGUCGAGUGGACCUACCAGCCAAGGCUUGCAGAUGUUUCUGUGCUGUUGUUCUGUAUCCUCGGAUGGUCUUUAUCCCUGGUGUUCUUGAAAUAUGAAGCUUUUUAUGGGAUGAGCAGGUCUACGUCCUAUAGCUGAGCUUCAUAAGUGAGACUAACUUAAAAAUGGCUCCUUCCCUCCCAGAGCCCUGAACAAGGGGCGGAACCAAACUUAAUGGUGAUUGACAGGUGGCCUGUCCUAUGAUUGCAAACAUUUGCAGCAAGAAAAUAAAGUUGAAGUUUCUGGUACAGCUGUACCAGCACAAACACCGUCUGGGAACGACCCUCCAGGAAGGACCGGAACCACUGCAGAACAGGACCCCCGAGCCCCAUCCCGGCAAGGCACCCCAGAAGGAUACCGUGAUCGACAGUAUCAAAGGCCGCUGAGAGGUCCAGCAGAACCAGCAGGGACACACUCAGGGACACUCUUGUAAGUGAACUAUAAAUCCCAGCAACUACAACUUCCAAAUGUCAAGGUCUAUUUUCCCCAAACGCGACCAUUAUUCAAAUUUGGGCAUAUUGAGUAUUUGUGCCAAGUUUGGUCCAGAUCCAUGAUUGUUUGGAGUCCACCGUGCUCUCUGGAUAUGGGUGAACUACAGCUCCAAAACUCAAGGUCAAUGCCCACCAAACCCUUCCAGUAUUUUCUCUUUGUCAUGAGAGUUCUGUGAGCCAAGAUUGGUUCAAUUCCAUCAUUGGUGGAGUUCAGAAUGCUCUUUGGUUGUAGGUUAAGUAUAAAUCCCAGCAACUACAACUCCCAAGUGACAAAAUCAACCCCCCUCAUAACCCCACCAGUAUUCAAAUUUGGGCAUUUCAGGUAUCUGUGCCAAAUGUGGUCCAGUAAAUGAAAAUACAUCCUACAUAUCAGAUAUUUACAUUAUGAUUCAUAACAGUAGUAAAAUGACAGUUAUGAAGUAGCAACAAAAAUAACUUUAUGGUUGGGGGUCACCACAACAUGAGGAACUAUAUUAAGGGGCCGCGGCAUUAGGAAGGCUGAGAACCACUGUUUUUUGGUGUUUGCUUAAAAGUCAUUCCAAAUCCUAUACAAUCUUGUAAUAAAAUUCAUUUGUUACAUCGUGUUAUUAAUAGACAGACUAAGUUAGCUAUUUUCUCUUUGCACCUAUGAAUUGUUAAAUUGUGGUCAACACUGACCGUAUAAUGCAGUUCGAAACUGCAUUGUAUGGUCAGUGUUGACCUAUAUAAUGUGGUUCAAAUGACCAUAAACUGACCAUAUAUUUAUUAUUAUUAUUAUUAUUUUAUUUACAGUAUUUAUAUUCCGCCCUUCUCACCUUGAAGGGGACUCAGGCCGGAUCACAAUGUACAUAUACAUGGCAAAGAUUCAGUGCAAUAUGAACAUAGAGACAGAGACAAAGACACAGAGGCAAUUAACCUUCUCCAGCUUACUGCGGGUAUGCUUGAUUCCAGCCACAGGGGGAGCUGCUGCUUCAUCAUCCACAGUGACACCGAGUCCUUGAUGGAUACUUCCUCAUUCCAAACGCUGCAGGACAAUUUUUAUGGUGUCGUAAAUGAAUAAUAAUAUAAUAAUAAACUUUAUUUAUACCCCGCCACCAUCUCCCCAACGGGGACUCGGGGCGGUUUACAUGGGGCCAUGCCCAGAACAAUACAAUAUAACAGAAUAUAAAUAGAACAACAAAUAACACAUUGAACAAUACAAUAAAUGAUAAUAUACACUACAUUACGCAAAAUCAGAAGAACAAUAAAACAAGGGCGGGCCACAUGAACACUAAGUUAAAACUCGGGGUGAGAAAAGAAAUAAGAAUAAAAACCACAGAGAACAGGGUCAUAAAGUAGUGGUGCAAUCUGGAGGACCGAUAUUAAAUUAGAUGAAAUUAGCCUCCCUGUAUAAGCGGUACCUAAAUUUCCUACUUGAUAGAUGCAACUAUCUUUCAGGUUGCUUAGGUCAACAACGAGCAGGGCUAUUUUUUAAUGGUUGGGUGCUCACUCCAACACGGUCUGGCUUCAAACUCAUGAUCUCUUGGUCAUAGUGAUUUAUUGCAGCUGGCUACUAACCAGCCUGCGCCACAGUCCGGCCCAAACUGCAUUAUAUGGCAGUGUAGAUGCAGCCUCAUAUACGUAAUGCCAUUGCAUUGCAUCAAACUGCAUCAUACGAGAUGACACUGGCCAUAUAAUGCAGUUUCAAACUGGCACAGAUGCAAAAACACAAAUACACUCAUCAAGGUGCAUAAUAUUUAAAACAGAACCUAAAGUCCUUGGCGUGACAUCUCUUAAGCAUUUCUUCAGCCAUAGAAUUGCAAUGACACUGACCUUCCCUUCCAGAGAAAGAAAGGCUAAAAAUGUAAAUAUUACAUAACUAGCCAUGUGUUCUCUUUUCUUGACCCCAAAUGGGAUGCCUGAGGUGGUCACUUCAUUUUGGACCGUGGAAAGGUCAGCACUGACCAUCUGCAUCCUGCCCAGAGCUCUUUGGGAGAAAAGCAAGAGGUCAGUGGAAAACAUAUGAUGAUGAUGAUGAUGAUGAUGAUGAUGAUUAUGUUCAUCUUUAUUAUAUUUUUGUCUUCAAAAGCUUUCAUGGCCAGAAUCACUGGGUUGCUGCGAGUUUUCCGAGCUGUAUGGUCAUGUUUCCGAAGCAUUUGCUCCUGACGUUUCGCCCACAUCUAUGGCAAGCAUCCUCAGAGGUUGUGAGGUCUGUUGGAAACUAUUCAAGUUGGGUUUAUAUAUCUGUGAAACCAGCAGUUAUAGGCAAUCCUUUCUUAGUCCAUGAAUCUGCUUCGUGGAGAUCAGCAGCAAACAAGGCCUCAGAAAUAGUCAGGCCUCUCUGAGUACAGAGCCAUCUUCUUUCCAGCCAGUGAUGAAGGUGUAUUGGGAAAAUAUAAUACUUGUAUUGGAAACUAUAUACUGAAUGUAAUCAUGUUAAGAAAUAGAAAUAGGAAAGUAUGUAAUCACCAGCAGAUUGUGUGCGUAGUCUUAAAAAUACACUCUGCUCAGCAAAAUAACUGUCUACCCAUAGCAAGACCAAAGUUCACUCUAAGUGCCAGAGACAUGUUAAGUGUCAACAAGAAUAGAUAAUGGACAAGAGACAAAUUAAGGCUUUUUGGGAUGUCAAGAUAAGACCUGGCGCCAUGAGGGGAAUGCUAAUGGGUCUCUGACAGCUAAGAUAAGGGGGAACUCCUUAAUUAAUGAGGACCCCUAAAAGCUGAGAUAGGAAAUUCCAGAGAUAACGCCUAAUGGAGGGUUAGAGUUCUUGAAAGUAGUCUAUAUUUUAGAAAAAUGCAAAGAUAGCUUUUUAGUUAAGUGCCCAGUAAGACUUUUUUGACACUAAUUGGUGAUUGAUAAUACCUGUGUGAUGCAGUAGAUGGGGGAAAAAGGGUAUAUAAGAACCUGUGAUCCUUUGUUCCAGUACCUUCGCUUUCCUGACCACAGGAGAAGGUCUUUGCUUAUUCUCUCUUGCCACUGAGAAUAAAUGUCAUUUUUUCUACAGCCACCGGAACUCUCUUUGUCUCAUUACCUCAAACCUUUGUCUGCCAUUUCACCAGUAUUGUGGUUUUUAUUGUAUAAUUGUGUCUGAAUUUGUUUAAUUUACUUGAUUGUCUUGUUGCUACUGUUUUACAUGUUUUAACUUGUUAUAACUUGCUCUUCUUUUGGGCUUGGCCCCAUGUUAGCCGCCCCGAGUCCCUUUGGGGGUGACAGGAUAUAAAAAUAAAUUAUUAUUAUUAUUAUUAUUAUUAUUAUUAUUAUUAUUAUUAUUAUUAUUUGCCAUACAAUCCUGAUUAUCAAAACAGAUAGCCCAGAUUAUAUAAUAUAAACUGGAUUAUAUGAGUUCACACUGCCAUAUAGGUAAAUGUUUUCCCCUGACAUUAAAUCCAGUCGUGUCCGACUCUGGGGGUUGGAGCUCAUCUCCAUUUGUAAGCCCAAGAGCCGGCGUUGUCCGUAGACACCUCCAAGGUCAUGUGGCCAUAGGCAUGAGUGCAUGGAGCACUGUUACCUUCCUGCUGAAGCAGUACCUAUUGAUCUACUCACAUUUGCAUGUUUUCGAACUGCUAGGUUGGCAGAAGCUGGGGCUAACAGCGGGCGCUCACUCUGCUCCCCGGAUUCGAACCUGCAACCUUUCGAUCCGCAAGUUCAGCAGCUCAGCGCUUUAACACACUGUGCCAUCAGGUGCUGGAUCUAUUUAUUUAUUUAUUUAUUUACAGUAUUUAUAUUCCGCCCUUCUCACCCCGAAGGGGACUCAGGGCGGAUCACAUUACACAUAUAGGCAAACAUUCAAUGCCUUUUUAACAUAGGACAAAGACAAACAAAGCGGUCCUCGAACUCAUGACCUCCUGGUCAGAGUGAUUCAUUGCAGUUAAUUGCACUGGCUUGCUCUCCCGCCUGCGCCACAGCCCGGGCCCUACACUGCCCUAUAUCCUGGGAGCUGAUCCCAUAUUUUCUGGCAAUGUAGUCUCAUAUAAUCCAGUUCAAUGCGGAUAACCUGGGAUCAGUUCCUGGGAUAUAGGGCAGUGUAGAUCCAGUCCCAGUGAAGAAACGCAACGCAGCCAAGAAGGAAGAGGCCUGGGCUGCAUCUCUGGGGAGGUGUUUUGGCACAUCUAAAGGGAAAGGCCAAGUGUUUGUUUUCCGUCUCCAUCGCUACCAUUAAACUCCUAGGCAUCCUUGGUGCCUCCUCCUUCUUGCCCGGAUGAUCGUGCCAAAUGUUAUCAAACAAUGCAAAGUUUAAAAAUACCCUCUGCCUUUGUGGGAGCCAAACAAAGGCGCAAUAUGACCUCCAAUUCAGGCAUGGGCAAACUUGGGCCCUCCAGGUGUUUUGGACUUCAGCUCCCACCAUUCUUAACAGCCAGUCCUUCCUUAGGCGAUCCCUCGUUGUCCGAGUAUGAUGGCCAAGUGUAGUGUCUUGGUGGUGAGUACGUAGGUGACUGUGGAGUCCUAUUUUUGACCCGUUAUGUUCUUCCACAGUUAGGACAUCUGUUUCCAGGUGGAAGGCGGUCCCGGUCAAGGUUGGCUUGAUGCGCCGUCCUCUUGGCCCUUUUCUCCCUUUUGCCCUCCAUUCAUUCCUCUUCAAAUUCCACAGCACUGCUGGUCACAGCUGACCUCCAAUUAGAGCGCUCAAGGGCCAGGGCUUCCCAAUUCUUGGUGUCUAUGCCAGUUUUUGAGAUUGGUUUUAAGCCCAUCUUUAAAUCUCUUUUCCUGCCCACCAACAUUACGUUUCCCGUUCUUGAGUUGGGAGGAGAGUAGCUGCUUUGAGAGACGGUGAUCGGGCAUUCGGACAACGUGGCCUUCAGUCCAGCGGAGUUGAUGGCAUAGGAGCAUCGUUUCAAUGCUGGUUAAGCCCCCGACCAUUAAAUAGCCCAGCUUGCUGUUGACCUAUGUAGCCCUGAAAGACAGUUGCAUCUGUCAAGUAGGGAAAUUUAGGUACGCUUUAUGCGGGAGGCUAAUUUAACUAAUUUACAACAUCAUAAAACUGCCAGCAAAACACGAGGAAAGGAAUGAGGAAGUACAGCCACUAGUGGACAGUGAAGCAAUAGCUCCCCCUGUGGUCGGAAUCGUGGAGCUGGAAAAAAAUGUUAAAUGCCUCUGUGUCUGUCUAUAUAUGUUGUUUGUCUGUUGGCAUUGAAUGUUUGCCAUAUAUGUGUUCAUUGUAAUCCGCCCUGAGUUCCCUUCGGGGUGAGAAGGGUGGAAUAUAAAUACUGUAAAUAAAUAAAUAAAUGCUGGUGGUCUUUGCUUCCUCAAGCACGCUGGCAUUUGCCCGCCUGUCUUCCCAAGAGAUUUGCAGGAUUUUUCUGAGGCAAUGCUGAUGGAAACGCUCCAGGAGUUGAGUGUGAUGUCUAUAGACAGUCUACGUUUUGCAGGCAUAUCAGAGGACUGGAAGGACAAUGGCUUUAUAAACAAGCACCUUGGUGUCCCUAUGGAUGUCCCAAUCCUCAUUCGGAGAAAUGCUGCACUCGCAGAGCUCAGGCGUCAAUGUCAACUUUUGUGGAGAAGUGGCUGCCAAGGAAGCGGAAAUAGUCAACAUUUUCUAAUGUUACACAAUUAAAGCUUUAUUUCUGGCAUUGCAUAGGGACUGGCUGGUGAACAUCGAUGUUCAAUGAGAGGCUGAGCUUCUCAUAUGCUUCUGCAAAGGUGUUUAAAGUGGCUUUGUAGGUCUUCUGAAUGCACACAGACAAUGUUAUCAUCGGCAUAUUGGAGUUCUAUAACAGAUGUCGUCGUGACCUUGGUUUUGGCUUUCAAACUGCUGAGGUUACAUAUCUUGCCAUCUGUCUGAUAGAGGAUUUCUACUCCAGCGGGAAGUUUCCCAUCAACAAAAUGAAGUAUCAUAAGCUGUUAGGAAUGCAGGGAGUUGCAGUCCAAAACACCCGGAGGGCCCAAGUUUUUCCAUGCCUGGCUUAUAUGGAUGGAUGUCUCUCAUUGGGGCCGGGCUGUGGCGCAGCUGGCCAGUAACCAGCUGCUAUAAAUCACUACUGACCGAGAGGUCAUGAGUUCGAAGCCCAAGUCGGGUUAAGCCUCCGACCAUAAAAAAAAAAAAAAAUAGCCCCGGCUUGCUGUUGACCUAGCAGCCCCGAAAGACAGUUGCAUCUGUCAAGUAGGGAAAAUUUAGGUACGCUUUAUGCGGGAGGCUAAUUUAACUAAUCUACAACACCAUAAAACUGCUCACGAGGAAAAGACGAGGAAGAACAGCCACCAAUGGACGGUGAAGCAACAGCUCCCCCUGUGGCCGGAACCGUGAAGCUGGAAAGAUGUUAAAAAUGCCUCUGUGUCUGUCUAAAACUGAAUGUUGUUUGUCUGUUGGCAUUGAAUGUUUGCCAUAUAUGUGUUCAUUGUAAUCCGCCCUGAGUCCCCUUCGGGGUGAGAAGGGUGGAAUAUAAAUACUGUAAAUAAAUACAUUUCUUUCUUUCUCAUGUUUGUGGUCUUUUGUCAAGCCAGGUCACCCAGGUCUGCAUUUCUCUCUCUCUCUCUCUCUUUUUGCCUCGACAGACCAACACAGCUAUCUCCUUGCAACAUGCUUUAUUGAUUUGUUCUACAACUUGCCUUCCUCCCGAAAUAGGAGGCUUCAAGGUGUCUUCGAAUACGAAUGUACUUUCUUCAGCCAUAAAUCUAGUCAGAGCAAGAAAGAAGGAACAGUACUUAAUGCAAUUCCCAAGAGCCUUUUAAAAAAUGUCCUCUCCUUCCCAGAUCUACUCAACUCCUUUCCCACCGCCGGAGGAAAUAAAUGCCGUCCUCAAAUAUCUUUUCUAAAAAAGAGGAAAAUGCUAAUGAGAGAAAAUUUGGACCGAACACCCAGAGGCAAAGGUUGAAGCAAUCCUUCUCUUUUUCUUGGUUGGGUUUGCAACUCCUUGUGUCCAAAGACAGACAGACAGACAGGCAGGCAGGCAGACAGACAGACAGACAGGAGUCUCCUCCAUAGCAUUGAAAUAAAGUGGUAUCAAACUGCAUUCAUUCCACAGUGUGGCUUCACCCAAAGGAAACUUUAAUAUAUACAGCUGCAUGCUGAGUUUCUGCAUCCCAAAGGGAUUUUGCAGCUCCAUCCUCCCUUUGCUUCGCCAAAUCCCUAGACCAGGGGUCCCCAAACUAAGGCCCGGGGGCCGGAUGCGGCCCAUCGAAGCUAUUUAUCCGGCCCCCACGACACAAGGGCAGAAGGGGGUUGGGCUAAAUGACCCAAGGGGUCUCUUCUUCUCUUACAAUCCUUAUUAUUAUUAUUAUUAUUAUUAUUAUUAUUAUUAUUAUUAUUAUUAUUAUUAAGGCUGGAUGGACAUCUGUCAGGGAUGCUUUGGUUAUGGUUUUGGUCACAGAGGCAGAAGGGGGUUGGACUAAAUGGCCCAAGGGGUCUCUUCCAACCCUUUUUAUUAUUAUUAUUAUUAUUAUUAUUAUUAAUAAUAAUAAUAACAUUGAGGCUGGAUGGCCAUCUGUCAGGGGUGUUUUGGUUGUGCUUUUGGUGCGCAGAGGCAGAAGGGGGUUGGACUAAAUGGCCCAAGGGGUCUCUUCCAACCCUCUUUAUUGUUGUUGUUGUUGUUAUUAUUAUUAAUAAUAAUAAUAACAUUGAGGCUGGAUGGCUGUCUGUCAGGGAUGCUUUGGUUGUGGUUUUGGUGCACAGAAGCAGAAGGGGGUUGGACUAAAUGGCCCAAGGGGUCUCUUCCAACCCUCUUUAUUAUUAUUAUUAUUAUUAUUAUUAUUAUUAUUAUUAAUAAUAAUAAUAUUGAGGCUGGAUGGCCAUCUGUCAGGGAUGCUUUGGUUGUGCUUUUGGUGCACAGAGGCAGAAGGGGGUUGGACUAAAUGGCCCAAGGGGUCUCUUCCAACCCUCUUUAUUGUUGUUGUUGUUGUUGUUGUUGUUGUUAUUAAUUAUUAUUGCUCAGUGGCCAACUAUAGUCCAGCCCUCCAAUGGUCGGAAUGAUCGUGAACUGGCCCCCUGUUUUAAAAGUAUAAUCCAACAUAUAAUCCAACAUAUAAUCAGGCAAGGCAGACAUCCAGAUGGCAUGCAUAUCCAUAGAAAAGAGCGAGUUAGAGAGCAGUUGUAGCCCGAUGAGUCCCAGACAAAAACCACCUUUUGGGAUAUACUUAGUUUGUGAUGCAGAGGUGACUUGAAAUUAAUACAUUUGCCAAGGCACAUUUUUCAUGCAUCUAUAUAUAUAUAUAUAUAUAUAAAAAAGGAUAAUGGUGUCGCUCCACCAGGCAAAACAACAAAACUAAAGGCCCCCCAACCUAGAAAAUUGACAACACAACCCCUCAUCCACGUCUCUACGUGCUUACGCUCAACAAAGGAUUCCCCCCCCCCCCAAACAGGGAAACACCCACUCUUUGAAGGUCCAAACCCAUUCGGUACUCAUCACUGAAAACACAAAAUAAAGAGCAACACUCUGAAAACAAAGGAAUUCCAUCCAGGAAACAAUCAGGGCCACCUAACACCUCCCAACAAAGGAUUCCCCCCUCUAAGACACGGAACCACCUAAAAAAAAAGCCACUGCAACGCGUGGCCGGGCACAGCUAGUAACAUAAUAAAAUGUAAUGUUGCUUCCCUUGUAUUCUAACUCUAAUUCUUUCUUUAACUCAAUAGUUAUGGGGAAGGAGGAGUGUUUGGAUCCUAGUCUCCAGAGUCAUCAUCACCAUCACCAUCAUAUAUUAUUGUUAUUGUAAUUGUUGUUAUUGGCUGUAUCUAUAUUACCAUAUAAUCCCAUUUGAAAGUGCAUUAUAUGGCAGUGUAGAUCCAGCCAUACUCCAACGCUUAAACUACUACACCAACGCAAGACUACAACCCCCAUAAUCCUUGGAUUGACCAUUGUAGUGGAAAAAUUGAGAAUGAGAGAACACCUUUCCCAACGACAGAAUACCAAAUAAUAAUCUUUGGUUUGAGUGCAUUGGUGGAAACCAGUGGUCCUUGUCGUGGUUUGCAAAGGCACUGUGCUGUGCGUGUUAACUGGAAAAUUAAAUGCAUGAAGCCAAUUGGCUGAGCCUGAAAAGACCUGGGGAUUGAUUUGAUACUGUUUCUGUUCUGCUGCUGCAGAACCAGUUUGCUUAAGUUUUUCAGCUCUGAGUACUGCUGUGAAGAGAGCAUUGUACUCAGAGAGGCCUUGCUAUUUUGAGACCUGUUUGCUGCUGAGAAAAGAGGGAGAAGAACCAGGACUAUAUUCUUCUCUGAAGCAGAUUCGUGGACUGAGAAAGGACUAUUUAUGGCUCUAGACUUCUGUAAGUGAUCAGAGGGACCAUUGUAAAUACUAUUUUUUAUCUCUUAGAAUCAGUAAAGUUCCUGUAUUUUUCUGCAAACCUGAGUGGCAUGCUAUUGUUCUGCGGGUGACUCUGGAUCGCAGGCACAUGUAAGAGUUUCCAUUUAUCAUCAUCAAUCCCCUACAGUUCUCAACCUAGAUGUUUUGGGCCUUCAACUCCCAGAAAUCCUAACAGCUGGUAAACUGGGUGGGAUUUCUGGGAGUUGUAGGCCAGAAACAUCUGGUGUCCCCAGGUUGAGAACCACUGGUGUAAACAAACAAGCAAGUAAACAAACUGUGCAAAAGAAAACGUUUUGCACAAGGCUUUGAUGCAUAAGGCCAUGGAUGCAGAAUUCGUGGGUGUGGAAGGCUGACUAUAAGCCGAAACGGUCCAUAGGAGGUUUAACAUUAUCGAAGAAUCUCAAUUGGUGAAAAGUUAUAUAACAGAACGUGGAAGUACGUUCUUCUGGGCUUAUUUUGCAUCUUAUUCCAAAUAAAUCCAUUUGUGAGCCAGACUCAUGUCUUCUGCAGGAAAUCCGGGCGCAUUCCUGACCGCGUAUUACAAGGAGAGAACAAACUCAAGAAAGAUGUUUCUGGGUCCUGUUGAGAAUGUAGGGCAGUGUCUCUGGAAUGCAGUUGCCAGCAAAUCCAAAAUAAUAACAAUGAUACUAAAAAUAGAGGUAGUAGGACUCCUUCCCAUUGAGCUCAGUGGGACGUUGCAUCGGAGUGUGCAUGCAAAGAAUUACACAGCAAGCAUUAAUGCAGUUUGACAUCACUUUGACAGCUAAGGCUGAACGCUAUGAAAUCCUAGGAGUUAUACGAGGGUUGAAUGAAAAGUAAUGCCUCCACCUUCGUAACUCCUCAACAGAUGGCAGUCCUGAUCUGCGGCAGGUCCUGGUUUGUUUGGUAGAUUCUCCUCUACAGUUAGUUCCAUUUGGCGGGAAGCCUUAGCAUUGAACGGUUGUGUUGUUAAAGUGCGAAGUAUGGAACCCUGUACAGACGGUUGGUCAAUGCGACUUAAGCAAUGUAUAGUCAUUGAAUUCUUGACCGCAGAAGGUGUCACCCCAAAGGAGAUUCAUCAGAGGAUGCAAGCUGAUGUGAGUCCUGUGCAUCGUUGGGUGAGUAAGUUUAAAGAUGUUGAGGUGGGAACAUCUGACUUGCGUGACAAACAAAGAGUUGGACGUCCUGUGACAGCAACCACCAAGUUUCACAAGCAAAAGGUUGACAGAUUGAUUCAGGAUGAUUGUCAUAUCACUCAGAGAGAAGUUUCAAGCAUAAUCGGCAUUUCACAAGAACGUGUGGGUUACAUUAUUGCUUUGCUUGGCUAUCAGGCCUGGGCUGUGGUGCAGGCUGGAGAGCAAGCCAGCUGCAACCAGCUGCAAUGAAUCGCUCUGACCAGGAGGUCAUGAGUUCGAGGCCUGCUUGGAGCCUGUGUUUGUCUUGUCUUUGUUCUAUGUUAAAAGGCAUUGAAUGUUUGCCUAUAUGUGUAAUGUGAUCCGCCCUGAGUCCCCUUCGGGGUGAGAAGGGCGGAAUAUAAAUGCUGUAAAUAAAUAAAUUUUAAAAAAAUAUUGGAAGAUCUGUGCACGACGGGUCCUGUGAGACAGCGGUUGUGGAAACAGAGUGUUGACUUCUUCCGUGACGGCUUCAGAAAACCUGUUCAUCGUUGGCAGAAAUGUAUAUCCAAUUGUCUGGUGAUUAUGUGGAAAAGUGAAUAGUGGUAGUUAAAGAACUACAUUCUAAGGAUUAUUUCUGCGUUUGAUUUAUUAAAAUAUUCCUAUCCAAACCCAAGUAACGAAGGUGGAGGCAUUACUUUUCACUCAACCCUCGUAGUUUGGUGUGGCAACAGCCCUCUUUGGCAAGGAAAACUAUAAAUUUCUGUUAAACUACAGCUCCCAGGAUUCCAUAGCCUUGAGCCAUGGCGGUUAAAGGUGGUGCCAAACUGCACUCCCUACACAGAGUCCUAAUGAAUGCUCAGGUACAAAGGAAGCCUAUUUGCACACCCUUCUCCUGCAACAGGAGACUAACAUGGAGACUUCAUUGGAAAAUUCCUGCAGCAGCGUAUGAUUUGCAAGGGAAAUGGGUUUUGCCGGAGGGCGGGAAGAAGGCGGCUAUCUUUAGGCUGCUGGGAAAGUCCAGAGUUAUGAGCCAAGGGUUAUUCAUCCAUCUGGCUGGACUCCCAGGAGCAAGUCGGAGCCAUGCCAGGCCUGCGCCUCUCAGCCUCUCCCAAUUCCUCUCCUUAGUUUUCCAUUCCAAAGUUGCCAGGAUCUUUAGGGUAGGAACAACCCAAAGGCUGGUCCUUCCAUCUCCAAAGGCCACUCUUCCAGUCUUUCCCACUCAUUGUAGUCUACACUUUGAAAUUCCUCGGGGCACAUCUACACUGUAGAAUUAGUGCAGUUUAGCACCGUUUUAGGCACCAUGGCUCAAGGCUAUGCAAUCAGGGGAGUUUGGCAAUUCGGCAGCAUUCUUUGGAAGUGUUGUCGAAGGCUUUCAUGGCCGGGAUCACAGGGUUGUUGUAUGUCUUUCGGGCUGUGUGGCCAUGUUCCAGAAGUAUUCCCUCCUGACGUUUCGCCCACAUCUACCCUGUUUCCCCGAAAAUAAGACAUCCCCAGAAAAUAAGACCUAGUAGAGGUUUUGCUGAAUUGCUAAAUAUAAGGCCUCCCCCGAAAGUAAGACCUAGUAAAGUUUUUGUUUGGAAGCAUGCAGGAUCGGUAAAUGUAGAUACCAUAGAUCGUUAUACAGGGAAAUAAAGGUAGUAACAAGAAAUAAUAAUAUAAUAAUAUAAUAACUUUAUUCUUGUAUCCCACCUCCAUCUCCCAGAAGGGACUCAGGGCAGCUUACACAGGGACAAGCCCAACAACAACAUAAAUUUACAUACGAACAGAAAUUUAAAACAGUAAUUUAAAAACAGUAUAGCAAUAAAAUAUAAUAUAGAAAUUCUUGAAAGGAUUCACAGUUUGGUUAUGCUGGUUUGUGAUGACAACUACUGUACGGUAGAUAAUAAAUUAUCAUUUUUAAAAAAUUCAACCAUACAUGUGAAUUCAUCUUUGUGGAAAAAAUAAUACAUCCCCUGAAAAUAAGACCUAGCACAUCUUUGGGAGCAAAAAUUAAUAUAAGACACUGUCUUAUUUUCGGGAAAACAGGGUAUGGCAGGCAUCCUCUAUUUUAUUAGGUACUUCCCAUUCUCAUCUAUGUGGGGAAUAUUAUAAUUAUAUUAUUAGGUACUACAAAUCCCAUUAUUCCAUAGCCUUGAGUUCCAAGUGAUGAAGGCUGCAUGAAUUAUUAUAAUUAUAAUGUUGCUGGAGGUAGCAAACAAUGUGCAUUUUGAGGGGUAGAACAAGCUGAUCAAGUACAUAUAGUAUAUGCAUAGGUACCAUGAUAAUAUUAUAUUAUAGUAUUAUAUUAAAUAUUAUAUUAUUAGGUACUACAAAUCCCAUUGUUCCAUAGCCUUGAGUUCCAAGUGUUGAAGGCUGCAUGAAUUAUUAUAAUUAUAAUGUUGCUGGAGGUAGCAAACAAUGUGCAUUUUGAGGGGUAGAACAAGCUGAUCAAGUACAUAUAGUAUAUGCAUAGGUACCAUGAUAAUAUUAUAUUAUAGUAUUAUAUUAAAAUAUUAUAUUAUUAGGUACUACAAAUCCCACACAGCCUGAAAGACAUACAACAACCCUAUUCUUUGGAAGCAAAGGCUCAAGACCUUGUGAAACUACAACUCCCAAGAUUCCAUAGCACUGAAAUAUAGCACCCGGUCUUUGUUGUUGCUUGUCUCCCAUACAAGCAUCAUCCUGUUGUCGACCGCGUUUUUAGGGGAUCGGGCCCCUUAAGGAGAGAGCCGAUCCGGUCCUGAGAGAACGGACCUUGGCGGAGCCAAUAGAAUAUGAGCCGCAAUACAACCUGAAGCCGAAAUGAAGAAGGUCCGCCAAAGUUGAAGGAAAAUCCGCCAAGGAGUCUUUAUUGAGCGAUUCAGCUGAAAAGGACACUAGUAGCGAUCAUUCAGCCUACAAGCGUACCAUAUAUCCAAAAUAAAGCCAUAUUUAUACAAUGUUUCAGUCUGACAGCCCCUUGAAUUUCCCGCCCCGCUCCCCCGCCCAUCUGAUCGCGGAUAGGCUAGAGGGUUGAACGAGGCAGGCUUUCGUUUCCCGCCUUGCUCUGUUGGCCCAAUAGGGAGCUGCUUUUUGUCCCCACUCGAGCCAAUCAGGGAGGAGAAGGCGGGAGUUAUUGAAACAAUGAAGUGACAGGGCAGGAAAUAUCAUAUUAAUUCCUGCUAGACCGAUUUCUAAAGGGAUUAAUGACAGCAAUCAAGGGUUCCUGUCACGUAUACAGAUUUUAGAUAUGCCUUGGGGUGUCAGAGGUGGAAGUAAGGAUGGGUGGUAAUGAGCCAUAUUUACAGGCUCUGCAGGGCGCCUUCCUGAGGUGUCCUGGUUUUUCCUUAGGAUGAGAUAUGACAAUGUUUGCCUUGGGGCGAAUCACCUUUUGUUUUUGGGAAGGGGAAGCCUGGGUCAUAGGAGCUGGGGUUCAUGUUGGGGUCAAAAUAUUUCCCAUUUGAUUUCAUGAUUUGACAAUUAUAUGAAAUAAAAUGAAAAAUAAAAUAAAGUUGGAAUAUAAACCCU
Molecule: long non-coding RNA, 25229 nt
Organism: Anolis carolinensis (green anole)
Lineage: Eukaryota; Metazoa; Chordata; Lepidosauria; Squamata; Anolidae
Exons: 2
Source: RefSeq, a predicted model, not a curated record